ACGGGUGAGUAACACGUAUCCAACCUGCCGUCUACUCUUGGACAGCCUUCUGAAGGAAGAUUAAUACAAGAUGGCAUCAUGAGUCCGCAUGUUCACAUGAUUAAAGGUAUUCCGGUAGACGAUGGGGAUGCGUUCCAUUAGAUAGUAGGCGGGGUAACGGCCCACCUAGUCUUCGAUGGAUAGGGGUUCUGAGAGGAAGGUCCCCCGCAUUGGAACUGAGACACGGUCCAA
RNAcentral lists this ribosomal RNA (231 nucleotides) under uncultured bacterium. Its description in RNAcentral is "partial 16S ribosomal RNA". It matches the Rfam family "Bacterial small subunit ribosomal RNA", at positions 102 to 334 of the family's 1533-position model. The record is from RNAcentral.